UACGAAGGGGGCGAGCGUUGUUCGGAGUUAUUGGGCGUAAAGCGCGCGCAGGCGGCCUCGCGCGCCCGACGUGAAAGCCCCCGGCUUAACCGGGGAGGGUCGUUGGGGACGGCGGGGCUUGAGGGCGGGAGAGGGUGGUGGAAUUCCCGGUGUAGUGGUGAAAUGCGUAGAGAUCGGGAGGAACACCCGUGGCGAAGGCGGCCACCUGGGCCGACCCUGACGCUGAGGCGCGAAGGCGUGGGGAGCGAACGGG
RNAcentral lists this ribosomal RNA (253 nucleotides) under uncultured bacterium. Its description in RNAcentral is "partial 16S ribosomal RNA". It matches the Rfam family "Bacterial small subunit ribosomal RNA", at positions 524 to 776 of the family's 1533-position model. The record is from RNAcentral.